CGAACGGGAUGCUUAGGCAUCUAGUGGCGGACGGGUGAGUAACGCGUGAGAAUCUGGCUCCAGGUCGGGGAUAACAGUUGGAAACGACUGCUAAUACCGGAUGUGCCGAGAGGUGAAAGAUUUAUUGCCUGGAGAUGAGCUCGCGUCUGAUUAGCUAGUUGGUGGUGUAAGGGACCACCAAGGCGUCGAUCAGUAGCUGGUCUGAGAGGAUGAUCAGCCACACUGGGACUGAGACACGGCCCAGACUCCUACGGGAGGCAGCAGUGGGGAAUUUUCCGCAAUGGGCGAAAGCCUGACGGAGCAAUACCGCGUGAGGGAGGAAGGCUCUUGGGUCGUAAACCUCUUUUCUCAAGGAAGAAGAAAGUGACGGUACUUGAGGAAUAAGCAUCGGCUAACUCCGUGCCAGCAGCCGCGGUAAUACGGAGGAUGCAAGCGUUAUCCGGAAUGAUUGGGCGUAAAGGGUCUGCAGGUGGAACUGAAAGUCUGCUGUUAAAGAGUUUGGCUUAACCAAAUAAAAGCGGUGGAAACUACAGAACUAGAGUGUGGUAGGGGCAAAAGGAAUUCCUGGUGUAGCGGUGAAAUGCGUAGAUAUCAGGAAGAACACCGGUGGCGAAAGCGUUUUGCUAGACCAUAACUGACACUGAGGGACGAAAGCUAGGGGAGCGAAUGGGAUUAGAUACCCCAGUAGUCCUAGCCGUAAACGAUGGAUACUAGGCGUGGCUUGUAUCGACCCGAGCCGUGCCGGAGCUAACGCGUUAAGUAUCCCGCCUGGGGAGUACGCACGCAAGUGUGAAACUCAAAGGAAUUGACGGGGGCCCGCACAAGCGGUGGAGUAUGUGGUUUAAUUCGAUGCAACGCGAAGAACCUUACCAAGACUUGACAUCCUGCGAAUCCUGGUGAAAGCUGGGAGUGCCUUCGGGAGCGCAGAGACAGGUGGUGCAUGGCUGUCGUCAGCUCGUGUCGUGAGAUGUUGGGUUAAGUCCCGCAACGAGCGCAACCCUCGUUUUUAGUUGCCAGCAUUAAGUUGGGCACUCUAGAGAGACUGCCGGUGACAAACCGGAGGAAGGUGAGGAUGACGUCAAGUCAGCAUGCCCCUUACGUCUUGGGCUACACACGUACUACAAUGCUACGGACAGAGGGCAGCAAGCCAGGGAUGGCAAGCGAAUCCAGAAACCGUAGCUCAGUUCAGAUCGAAGGCUGCAACUCGCCUUCGUGAAGGAGGAAUCGCUAGUAAUUGCAGGUCAGCAUACUGCAGUGAAUUCGUUCCCGGGCCUUGUACACACCGCCCGUCACACCAUGGAAGUUGGUCACGCCCGAAGUCAUUACCCCAACCGAAAGGAGGGGGAUGCCUAAGGUAGGACUGGUGACUGGGGUGAAGUCGUAACAAGGUAGCCGUACCGGAAGGUGUGGCUGGAUCACCUCCUUU
RNAcentral lists this ribosomal RNA (1426 nucleotides) under uncultured Cylindrospermopsis sp. RNAcentral describes it as "bacterial SSU rRNA". It matches the Rfam family "Bacterial small subunit ribosomal RNA". Lineage: Bacteria; Bacillati; Cyanobacteriota; Cyanophyceae; Nostocales; Aphanizomenonaceae. The record is from RNAcentral.